RNAcentral lists this transfer RNA (73 nucleotides) under Thalassospira xiamenensis. RNAcentral describes it as "tRNA_Phe_GAA". It matches the Rfam family "tRNA". Rfam says of the family: Transfer RNA (tRNA) molecules are approximately 80 nucleotides in length. Their secondary structure includes four short double-helical elements and three loops (D, anti-codon, and T loops). The record is from RNAcentral. Lineage: Bacteria; Pseudomonadati; Pseudomonadota; Alphaproteobacteria; Rhodospirillales; Thalassospiraceae.
GCCAGAGUAGCUCAGUUGGUAGAGCGCUUGCCUGAAGAGCAAGAGGUCGCAGUUUCGAAAACUGCCUUUGGCA